Molecule: ribosomal RNA, 87 nt
Filed under: Bacteroides thetaiotaomicron
Lineage: Bacteria; Pseudomonadati; Bacteroidota; Bacteroidia; Bacteroidales; Bacteroidaceae
Also listed under: 1 other name
Source: RNAcentral
CCACCUCUUCCCAUUCCGAACAGAGAAGUUAAGCCUCGUCACGCCGAUGGUACUGCGUAACAGUGGGAGAGUAGGUAGCCGCCAUUU